RNAcentral lists this non-coding RNA (74 nucleotides) under human gut metagenome. RNAcentral's name for it is "Glycine riboswitch". It matches the Rfam family "Glycine riboswitch aptamer", at positions 7 to 88 of the family's 94-position model. Rfam says of the family: This family represents the bacterial glycine riboswitch. Glycine riboswitches usually consist of two metabolite-binding aptamers domains with similar structures in tandem. The record is from RNAcentral.
AGAAUUUGGGAGAGACUGCUUAAAUGCAGCACCGAAGGGGCAUGCUAGAACUCUCAGGUAAAAACACCGAAUUU